ACCUAUAAGUUAACUUCGACAAAGUUAUGUAAUUUUUACUAAUACCUCUUUUAAUGGAGAAAGACAUAGUAGUUAUGAUAUUGGCUUGAAACCAGUUAGAGGGGGUUCGAUUCCUUCCUUUCUUAUUUUAGGUUCACAUAGGCAGGUUCUUCAAAUGUAUGAUAUGGUGGAGGGCAUCCGUGUAGUCAUUCGAGAUUGGUUGAAGUUAGUUCUACUGUAGAUACUUCUCGUUUGGAUGCGAAUGCUUCUCAGAUCAUGAAAAUUAUUAGUAUUACUGCUGUAAGUGAGAUGAAAGAUCCUAUGGAUGAGAUGGUAUUUCAUGUUGUAUAUGUGUCUGGGUAAUCGGAAUAGCGUCCUGGCAUUCCUGAGAGGCCAAGAAAAUGUUGUGGGAAGAAGGUUAUGUUGACUCCUACGAAUAUGAUUGUAAAGUGGAUUUUUGCUCAGGUUGACCUAAUUCAGCACGAAUUAAGAGGCUUAGGGCGGUUCCUACUAUUCCAGCUCAAGCGCCGAAUAGGAGAUAUAAAGUGCCGAUGUCUUUGUGGUUGGUUGAGAAUAAGCAGCGAGUAAUGAACAUAGGUAGCUCGUCUGGUUUCGGGGUAUUUAGCUUAAGUUCUCUUUGCUAAAUUUGUUCUAGUUAAAUCAUUAUGCAAAAGGUAAAAGGGGUAAGCUUUGCUGUUUGGUACUUUUAAUGUGUCUUUCAUCGUUCCCUUAUGGUACUCUCUCUAUAGCGCCAAGUUAAAAUUUCUAUCUCCUAUUCUUUAAUGGUUUGGUGAAUGUUUUAGUUGAGUGACUAAAAGUGGUUAAGUUGAAUAUUGUUUGGGCUAGCUUUAGUUCAAAGUGUUCAUUCUGUAUGAAAUCUUCUAGGUGUAAGCUGGAUGCUUUGUUUAAGCUACACUUUGGUUAUCCAAGUACACCUUCCUGUAUACUUACCUUGUUACGACUUGUCUCCUUUCAUAUGUUUGAAUCACGGUUUUAUGUUAUGUUGUGAUUUGUGAUAUUUAAGGAGGGUGACGGGCGGUGUGUGCGUGCUUCAUGGCCUGAUUCAAUUAAGCUCUCUAUUCUUAAUUUACUGCUAAAUCCUCCUUUGGUCUCUAGUUUCAUAGAGACUUUCGUUUGGGUUGAGUUCUUAAGGUAGAAAAUGUAGCCCAUUUCUCUCCAUACCAUGGGCUACACCUUGACCUAACGUUUUUAUGUUGGAUACUUGUGCUUACUUCGGUGCCUUUUUAGGGUUUGCUGAAGAUGGCGGUAUAUAGGCUGUAUUAGCAAGGGUUGGUAGGGGUUAUCAGGGUUUAUCGAUUACGGAACAGGCUCCUCUAGAGGGAUGUAAAGCACCGCCAAGUCCUUUGAGUUUUAGGCUGUUGCUAGUAGUACUCUGGUGAAUAGGUUUGUUGUGAUGGGCUAUUUUGGUUUAGGGCUAAGCAUAGUGGGGUAUCUAAUCCCAGUUUGGGUCUUAGCUAUCGUGUGGUCAGAGGUAGUAAAGUCACUUUCGUAGUCUAUUUUACUUUGGUUGUAGCUUUUUACAGUUUAACUGGGUUUUAACCUUAUUUCUGGUGUUAGUCUUUGACACGCUUUACGUCGGGGCUUUAUUAAUUUGGGUUAAUCGUAUGACCGCGGUGGCUGGCACGAAAUUUACCAACCCUAUUUAAUAUAACUUAGUCAAACUUUCGUUCAUAGCUUAAUUUUUAUCACUGCUGUGUCCCGUGGGGGUGUGGCUGAGCAAGGUGUUAUGAGCUACUUCUUAGUGCGCUUGAUACCUGCUCCUUUUGAUCGUCAGGGCGCGAUUUAGAGGGCAUUCUCACUGGGGUGCGGAUACUUGCAUGUGUAAUUUUAUUAACAACUAAUAAAAAGGCUAGGACCAAACCUAUGUGUUAAUGGAGUAGUAAUACUCAUCUAGGCAUUUUCAGUGCCUUGCUUUG
Long non-coding RNA from Equus asinus (donkey), 1916 nucleotides. The record is from Ensembl. Lineage: Eukaryota; Metazoa; Chordata; Mammalia; Perissodactyla; Equidae.